UGACUGGAAAUAGCCUCCUGAGAGUGUUCUAAAGAUUGCCGACAGUGGACUGACUUGCUUUAAAGACUUUGGGCGGAGCUAAUAAACAGAACAAAUCUGGCAGAGAACAAGAUCUUUACUUUCACAGAGCGUCACUCCAUUACCACUGUCUGUACUGAGCAACUACAGUUUUGAGGUGAGACACAUAUUCACAUGUUUGUAAACAUAAACAGCAUCCCACUUCAGCCAAAAUGCCACCAACCACCAGUGCAACAGUGCCUAUGCCAGCGGUCAGAGACACACCAUCAACAACCGGUACAACAGUGGCCACGCCAGCAGUCAGACUGUGGGGUUUUCAUGUUGAUGAGGCUGGUUUAAAGCUGCAGGGAUACGUUUUUGCACUCCUGUCAUCUAUUUCUGCCUAGCUCCAGUGAUUGGCACAUCUGGGUGAUGUUGUCAGAUAUGUGUUAGCAUGUUGGACGUAUAUCCACUCACAUACUGUACAGCUGUCUUACAAUGCCGACACACCGUCCUCGUCCUAUCUACCACUCGCUCUCUACUGCUGCCGUAGUUCAAUGGGAACCCGAAACUUCCCACACUGCUGAUUUAUAACAAGUAGGCGGGUCUUCCAGCUCUUGCGUGUCAUCUGAACUCACCAUUCUUCUUCUGCUCUUUUUCCUGUUGUGGUGGUUAGCAAAAAGCGUUCAUUACUGCACGCGCCCCCUUCUGGAUUGGAGUGUGGAUCGCCUGUGACUGUCUCAGAUAUAUUCUUCAUCUGACUACAUGCACAGAACCGUGACGUCAGUACCAUGAUGGUUCGGGAUGAAUACAUCCGUUACACCCCUAAUAUAUAUAUAAUAAGAAGAAGACUGUGCACUAAAGGGAUUGGUUCAAGUGUUCACAGAAGAGCUCUCUUAAGAUGCUUUAUAAAGGAUUUUAGAGAACCAGCUGCUCGGGUGGAGUUUGGCAGGGCAUUCCACCAGCGAGGAACAGUUGAGGUGAAAGUCCUGGACAGUGAUUUUUUGCUUCUUUGCAGUGCAUUCAAUCUAUUAGCUUAUAAAUGUAUGUGUUUCAUGGGAAAAAGGCUGCACAAUUAAUCAAAAAAAUAUUCGAGAUUACAAUUACAGCUGCCACAAUUAACUAAUCGUGAUAAAUUUAAAUUAUAGCAGUCUAUGUAGUUCGACUCUUUUUUGACUUCAUUUUCUAUUUAAUGUGUGCUUAUCCAGUUGUUGAGCCUUGUAACUGAUUACAGACAUGAUUGUUGCUCACUUUUGUGUAAUUUUUAAAACAUUUGAAUAACAACUUUGUUUGCUUCUAAGAGGGCCAAUGUGAGGUUGACCAUUUACGAUUAAUUUACUGAUAAAACGGCAAUACAUUCAGAAACAGUUAUCGGCUUGUUUUGGAUGUGCAGCCUACAUAAAAAAUAUUGCAUGCAUUUGAUCCACAACAAAGUAAGUAUUUUAAUGUAACUUGUAUUAAUUUAAAUUAAUCACCAUUACAAUAUCAAAGGAAAUAAUCGACAAUUCUGAUUUUUGUCAUUAUCGUGCAGCCCUACAUGGGAACUCAAAACAUUGCCGUUACCAUCAUCCGUGCUCUAUCUCUACUGGAUGAAAUGCAGGAGCUCUGUAGCUCAACUAGUAGAGCAUGGAUCAUGCUUAACCUGGCAUGUACCAUACUGUAAACACAUAUUUGCAUAGUACUUUUUGUG
This is a long non-coding RNA of Myxocyprinus asiaticus (Chinese sucker), 1687 nucleotides long. RefSeq lists it as uncharacterized. The record is from RefSeq and is a predicted model, not a curated record. Lineage: Eukaryota; Metazoa; Chordata; Actinopteri; Cypriniformes; Catostomidae. The transcript has 3 exons.